UGUUAGGAGAGAGAGGGAGUCGCUGUGGAGCCACGAGCUGCGCCGAUCGCCGCCGCAUCGCGUCGGAGAGGAAGGCUGAGACUGAGCGUCGCUGGGAGAGAGGACAACGCGAGCUGGAGGCCCGGUCGCCGCUGUGCUAUGGAGCAGACUGAACUAUGCCGCGCUGUUGGGGUUCUCACCGUCGUCGGAAAAGGAUUCAGGCUGCCGCAGGUGUCGCGGUCGGAGGAGGAAGUUGUGCCCCUGUGUUUUGACCGCCGGGAGUGGUUCUGUGACUUCUGGGAUUACCGCCGGAGCUCCGGGCUGAGCCUCUGCCGCUUGAGACCCUGCUGCUGUCGCCAGAAAAGUUGCCGGUAAGGGUUUUAUUUGAGGUUUCUGCCUUUUUGGAUUUCGAGAAGGUUUUAAUGUUGCGCGGUUUUUAUAGUUGAUCCACCGAAGCUUCUGGCCGCCGCCGGAGCUGUUGCCGGGGCCGGUUUGGAAUCGCAGCUGCCUUAUUGUUAUUUCGUGUUGCUAUGGUUAUUCCAAAAGUGGCUGGGAGCUGAGGCUUUAGUUCCCGUCAGUUCGGUUUGAGGCGGAAAGGACUUGAUGAGGCAUUUGGGCUAUGGUUUUGCGUUUUGAGGAUAUGGGCGCAGAAGUUACGAAGAGCUUAUUUAAUUGUUGUUGUGAUGCUCUGUAUUGUUUUAGU
Non-coding RNA from Arachis ipaensis, 682 nucleotides. The record is from RefSeq and is a predicted model, not a curated record. Lineage: Eukaryota; Viridiplantae; Streptophyta; Magnoliopsida; Fabales; Fabaceae.